CUACGCCACGGUGAAUACGUUCCCGGGCCUUGUACACACCGCCCGUCACGCCAUGGAAGUGGUGAGCGCCCGAAGUCCGUGUCGGAACCGCAAGGACCAAGCGGCCGAAGGCGAGCAUCAUGACUGGGGCGAAGUCGUAACAAGGUAGCCGUAGGGGAACCUGCGGCUGGAUCACCUCCUUAACGGA
This 187-nucleotide ribosomal RNA is filed under the name Gemmatimonadaceae bacterium. RNAcentral's name for it is "partial 16S ribosomal RNA". It matches the Rfam family "Bacterial small subunit ribosomal RNA", at positions 1353 to 1533 of the family's 1533-position model. Lineage: Bacteria; Pseudomonadati; Gemmatimonadota; Gemmatimonadia; Gemmatimonadales; Gemmatimonadaceae. The record is from RNAcentral.